AGGUUAACCGCAUAGGGGAGCCGUAGAGAAAUCGAGUCUUAAUAGGGCGUUUAGUUGCUGGGUAUAGACCCGAAACCAGGUGAUCUAUCCAUGAGCAGGUUGAAGGUUGGGUAACACUAACUGGAGGACCGAACCCACUGUCGUUGAAAAGCCAGGGGAUGACUUGUGGAUAGGGGUGAAAGGCUAAUCAAACUCGGUGAUAGCUGGUUCUCCCCGAAAGCUAUUUAGGUAGCGCCUCGGACGAAUACCAUUGGGGGUAGAGCACUGUUUCGGCUAGGGGGUCAUCCCGACUUACCAAACCGAUGCAAACUCCGAAUACCUAUGAGUACUAUCCGGGAGACAGACUGCGGGUGCUAACGUCCGUAGUCAAGAGGAAAACAAUCCAGACCGCCAGCUAAGGCCCCAAAAUUAUAGUUAAGUGGGAAACGAUGUGGGAAGGCAUAGACAGCUAGGAGGUUGGCUUAGAAGCAGCCACCCUUUAAAGAAAGCGUAAUAGCUCACUAGUCGAGUCGGCCUGCGCGGAAGAUGUAACGGGGCUAAAACUAUAUGCCGAAGCUGCGGAUUUGCAAUUUAUUGCAAGUGGUAGGGGAGCGUUCUGUAAGCCGAUGAAGGUGUAUUGAGAAGUAUGCUGGAGGUAUCAGAAGUGCGAAUGCUGACGUGAGUAACGACAAUGCGAGUGAAAAACUCGCACGCUGAAAGACCAAGGGUUCCAGUCCAACGUUAAUCGGGGCUGGGUGAGUCGACCCCUAAGGCGAGGCCGAGAGGCGUAGUCGAUGGGAAAUUGGUUAAUAUUCCAAUACUUCUAUGUAAUGCGAUGAGAGGACGGAGAAGGUUAAGUCAGCCUGGCGUUGGUUGUCCAGGUGGAAGGUUGUAGGCAUGUAUCUUAGGCAAAUCCGGGGUACUCUAUGCUGAGAACUGAUAGCAAGCUGUACUUGUACAGUGAAGUGGCUGAUACCAUGCUUCCAGGAAAAGUCUCUAAGCUUCAGUUACAUAGGAAUCGUACCCGAAACCGACACAGGUGGUCAGGUCGAGUAGACCAAAGCGCUUGAGAGAACUCUGCUGAAGGAACUAGGCAAAAUGGUACCGUAACUUCGGGAGAAGGUACGCUGCCGACGGUGAUAGGAUUUACUCCUUGAGCUAUUGGCAGCCACAGAAACCAGGCCCCUGCAACUGUUUAUUAAAAACAUAGCACUCUGCAAACACGAAAGUGGACGUAUAGGGUGUGAUGCCUGCCCGGUGCUGGAAGGUUAAUUGAUGGGGUUAGCGUAAGCGAAGCUCUUGAUCGAAGCCCCAGUAAACGGCGGCCGUAACUAUAACGGUCCUAAGGUAGCGAAAUUCCUUGUCGGGUAAGUUCCGACCUGCACGAAUGGCAUAAUGAUGG
RNAcentral lists this ribosomal RNA (1381 nucleotides) under wastewater metagenome. RNAcentral describes it as "bacterial LSU rRNA". It matches the Rfam family "Bacterial large subunit ribosomal RNA", at positions 643 to 2010 of the family's 2925-position model. The record is from RNAcentral.